Molecule: ribosomal RNA, 252 nt
Filed under: uncultured bacterium
Lineage: Bacteria
Description: partial 16S ribosomal RNA
Rfam family: Bacterial small subunit ribosomal RNA
Source: RNAcentral
UACAGAGGGUGCAAGCGUUAAUCGGAAUUACUGGGCGUAAAGCGUGCGUAGACGGUAGCGUAAGUCGGGUGUGAAAGCCCCGGGCUCAACCUGGGAAUGGCAUUCGAGACUGCUCUGCUAGGGUGCGGAAGAGGGCGAGGUGAAUUCCGGUGUAGCGGUGAAAUGCGCGAUAUCGGGAGGAACACCAAUGGCGAAGGCAGCUCGCUGGGACGUGACUGACGCUGAGACGCGAAAGCGUGGGGAGCAAACAGG